This 78-nucleotide small RNA is filed under the name Salmonella enterica. RNAcentral describes it as "partial RtT sRNA". It matches the Rfam family "RtT RNA", at positions 1 to 77 of the family's 130-position model. From Rfam's summary of the family: This family represents a bacterial cis-regulatory element known as RtT RNA. The exact function of RtT is unknown although it is thought that it may be involved in changing the cellular response in relation to amino acid starvation. RNAcentral also lists the same sequence under 1 other name. Lineage: Bacteria; Pseudomonadati; Pseudomonadota; Gammaproteobacteria; Enterobacterales; Enterobacteriaceae. The record is from RNAcentral.
AUAUCUUUCUGUACGGGAAGGAUGAGAAGCUUCGACUAAGGUUCGAUUCGAGCGCAGCGAGAAAGCGUUGCCGCAGGC